UGGGGAAUAUUGGACAAUGGGCGAAAGCCUGAUCCAGCCAUGCCGCGUGAGUGAUGAAGGCCUUAGGGUUGUAAAGCUCUUUCGCCAGGGACGAUAAUGACGGUACCUGGAUAAGAAGCCCCGGCUAACUUCGUGCCUGCAGCCGCGGUAAUACGAAGGGGGCUAGCGUUGUUCGGAAUCACUGGGCGUAAAGCGCAUGCAGGCGGAUCGUUAAGUCGGGGGUGAAAGCCCGAGGCUCAACCUCGGAACUGCCUUCGAUACUGGCGAGCUUGAGUCCGGGAGAGGUGAGUGGAACUCCGAGUGUAGAGGUGAAAUUCGUAGAUAUUCGGAAGAACACCAGUGGCGAAGGCGGCUCACUGGCCCGGUACUGACGCUGAGAUGCGAAAGCGUGGGGAGCAAACA
RNAcentral lists this ribosomal RNA (402 nucleotides) under uncultured bacterium. RNAcentral describes it as "bacterial SSU rRNA". It matches the Rfam family "Bacterial small subunit ribosomal RNA", at positions 355 to 774 of the family's 1533-position model. The record is from RNAcentral.